AUUGAACGCUGGCGACAUGCCUUACACAUGCAAGUCGAACGGCAGCACGGGUGCUUGCACCUGGUGGCGAGUGGCGAACGGGUGAGUAAUACAUCGGAACAUGUCCUGUAGUGGGGGAUAGCCCGGCGAAAGCCGGAUUAAUACCGCAUACGAUCUACGGAUGAAAGCGGGGGACCUUCGGGCCUCGCGCUAUAGGGUUGGCCGAUGGCUGUUUAGCUAGUUGGUGGGGUAAAGGCCUACCAAGGCGACGAUCAGUAGCUGGUCUGAGAGGACGACCAGUCACACUGGGACUGAGACACGGCCCAGACUCCUACGGGAGGCAGCAGUGGGGAAUUUUGGACAAUGGGCGAAAGCCUGAUCCAGCAAUGCCGCGUGUGUGAAGAAGGCCUUCGGGUUGUAAAGCACUUUUGUCCGGAAAGAAAUCCUUGGCCCUAAUACGGUCGGGGGAUGACGGUACCGGAAGAAUAAGCACCGGCUAACUACGUG
RNAcentral lists this ribosomal RNA (486 nucleotides) under uncultured bacterium. RNAcentral describes it as "partial 16S ribosomal RNA". It matches the Rfam family "Bacterial small subunit ribosomal RNA", at positions 30 to 507 of the family's 1533-position model. The record is from RNAcentral.